GAUGAACGCUGACAGAAUGCUUAACACAUGCAAGUCUACUUGAACUUCGGUUUGGGUGGCGGACGGGUGAGUAACGCGUAAAGAACUUGCCUCACAGUUAGGGACAACAUUUGGAAACGAAUGCUAAUACCUGAUAUUAUGAUUUUAGGGCAUCCUAAGAUUAUGAAAGCUAUAUGCGCUGUGAGAGAGCUUUGCGUCCCAUUAGCUAGUUGGAGAGGUAACGGCUCACCAAGGCGAUGAUGGGUAGCCGGCCUGAGAGGGUGAACGGCCACAAGGGGACUGAGACACGGCCCUUACUCCUACGGGAGGCAGCAGUGGGGAAUAUUGGACAAUGGACCAAAAGUCUGAUCCAGCAAUUCUGUGUGCACGAUGACGUUUUUCGGAAUGUAAAGUGCUUUCAGUUGGGAAGAAAAAAAUGACGGUACCAACAGAAGAAGUGACGGCUAAAUACGUGCCAGCAGCCGCGGUAAUACGUAUGUCACAAGCGUUAUCCGGAUUUAUUGGGCGUAAAGCGCGUCUAGGUGGUUAUGUAAGUCUGAUGUGAAAAUGCAGGGCUCAACUCUGUAUUGCGUUGGAAACUGCAUGACUAGAGUACUGGAGAGGUAAGCGGAACUACAAGUGUAGAGGUGAAAUUCGUAGAUAUUUGUAGGAAUGCCGAUGGGGAAGCCAGCUUACUGGACAGAUACUGACGCUAAAGCGCGAAAGCGUGGGCAGCAAACAGG
This 722-nucleotide ribosomal RNA is filed under the name uncultured Fusobacterium sp. RNAcentral describes it as "bacterial SSU rRNA". It matches the Rfam family "Bacterial small subunit ribosomal RNA", at positions 28 to 776 of the family's 1533-position model. Lineage: Bacteria; Fusobacteriati; Fusobacteriota; Fusobacteriia; Fusobacteriales; Fusobacteriaceae. The record is from RNAcentral.